AGGACAAUCGGACGGACGGACGGACGGACGGCGCCCGGGCUCCCGCCGCGAGCCGAGGGACGAGGCGGCGGGCAGGGCGGCCGGGCCGGGCAGGAGGCGGCCGCGGGACGCUUGGGUUAGCCGCUCGGUUCCCCCCCCCCCAAUCCCCGACGAGAAAAGACCUGGAGGCGAAGGCAGAGCCGGCGCCGGAGGGACGCGCAACGGCCCCGCUCCCGGCCCUUCGGCUGCUUUCGGAGGGUCUCGUUUUCUUUUUCCUCUCCCCCCCCUCGUUUGCUCGCUUGCCGGGGGUGGUUUUCUUGCCCGACGAUGCCAAUGGGUGUUACGUUUUUGGAGAGCCGACCGCAACGACGACGCUUUUUCAGCUCCGCCAGCGGGUCCCGGAGACGCAGCCGUUGCCCAGUAAGUACCCCGGGAGCCGAACCCUCUAAUCAGCGCCGGGCUAAUUGGGGGCCGGGGCGCUGCCGAGCCUCCCGGUCCUCCUUGGAGAAGGGGCCCCCUCGACGCCCGACGGACGCCGCGCGAGCUGCCUAAUUGCGGCCCCGCUGGGCGGCCGCUCGACGCCCUUGCUGGGGGUGGGAGCAAGGUGCGGGCGGGCUGGGUGCAAGGCGCUUCCCGGCUGGGUUUCCGGAGCCGCAUCCCGCCUGGGUAACCCAGCACCCUGUUCUGCCCGAGGCAUGGGCACCCGGCGAGAUCCACCCGCUGGGCACGGGGUGCCCCAGCCUCGUCUCUGUCUUGAGCACCAAACGGGAGACCCCGUGGCAUGAAUGUCUGACACGGGCCAGAGCCCGGGGGUGCGGGGUGCUGGAGUUUGGGGGGUGCAGGGUGCUGGAGCCCAGGUGUGCAGGGUGCUGUAUCCCAAGUGCACAGGGUGCUGGAGCUUGGGGUGUGCAGGGUGCUGGAGCCCAGGUGUGCAGGGUGCUGGAGCUUGGGGUGUGCAGGGUGCUGGAGCUUGGGGUGUGCAGGGUGCUGGAGCUUGGGGUGCGCCGGGUGCUGGACACUGGGGAUGAGCAGGAGCACAGACAUCUGGAUGGGGGGUCCCACUCAGAGCAGGGCCGGCACACGGGGACGCGGGGGGCACCCGGGACCCCCGCGAGCGGGCGACGGGUGCCGCCACCACGCUCACACCUCUCUCGCUCUCCUCCGCAGCCCGUCC
Molecule: long non-coding RNA, 1153 nt
Filed under: Apteryx haastii (Great spotted kiwi)
Lineage: Eukaryota; Metazoa; Chordata; Aves; Apterygiformes; Apterygidae
Description: lncRNA (ENSAHAG00000011731.1)
Source: RNAcentral